This is a long non-coding RNA of Octopus bimaculoides (California two-spot octopus), 506 nucleotides long. The record is from RefSeq and is a predicted model, not a curated record. Lineage: Eukaryota; Metazoa; Mollusca; Cephalopoda; Octopoda; Octopodidae.
UCGCAACGCUAAGGAUAGAUUGGAAAUUCACAGAGAUACAGACGGAGUACGUAUUAAAAAUUUUCAAUAAAGUUUUGAGGUGCAGGAGUGGCUGUAUGGUAAGAAGCUUGCUUCCCAACCACAUGGUUCCGGGUUCAGUCCCGCUGCGUGGCACCUUGGGCAAGUGUCUCCUACUAUAGCUUUGAGCAGACCAAAAUCUUUUGAGUGGAUUUGAUCGAUGGAAACUGAAAGCCCAUCAUAUAUAUGUAUAUAUAUGUAUAUGUAUGUAUUUAUAUGUGUGUUUGUGUCUGUUAGUUCCCGCCUCCAUCGCUUGACAACCAAUGUUGGUAUGUUUACAUCCCCGUAACUUAUCAGUUCGGCAGGAGUGUUCGAUGGAGUAAGUAUCAGGCUUACAAAGAAUAAGUCCAGGAGUCGAUUUCUUCGACAAAAAAAAAGCAGUGCUCCAGCAUGGCCACAGUCAAAUGACUGAAACAAGUAAAAGAAUAAAAGAACAAAAGAAUAAUUCA